CGUAGGGUGCAAGCGUUAAUCGGAAUUACUGGGCGUAAAGCGUGCGCAGGCGGCUUUGCAAGACAGAUGUGAAAUCCCCGGGCUUAACCUGGGAACUGCAUUUGUGACUGCAUGGCUAGAGUGCGGCAGAGGGGGAUGGAAUUCCGCGUGUAGCAGUGAAAUGCGUAGAUAUGCGGAGGAACACCGAUGGCGAAGGCAAUCCCCUGGGCCUGCACUGACGCUCAUGCACGAAAGCGUGGGGAGCAAACAGGAUUAGAUACCCUGGUAGUCCACGCCCUAAACGAUGUCAACUGGUUGUUGGACGGCUUGCUGUUCAGUAACGAAGCUAACGCGUGAAGUUGACCGCCUGGGGAGUACGGCCGCAAGGUUG
This 370-nucleotide ribosomal RNA is filed under the name uncultured organism. RNAcentral's name for it is "bacterial SSU rRNA". It matches the Rfam family "Bacterial small subunit ribosomal RNA", at positions 526 to 896 of the family's 1533-position model. The record is from RNAcentral.